Molecule: ribosomal RNA, 477 nt
Filed under: uncultured bacterium
Lineage: Bacteria
Description: SSU rRNA
Rfam family: Bacterial small subunit ribosomal RNA
Source: RNAcentral
AGGACGAACGCUGGCGGCGUGCUUAACACAUGCAAGUCGAGCGGUGAAGUCCCUUCGGGGGCGGAUCAGCGGCGAACGGGUGAGUAACACGUGGGCAACCUGCCCCUAGCACUGGGAUAACUCCGGGAAACCGGGGCUAAUACCGGAUACUACCUCCAAGGGCAUCCUAAGAGGUGGAAAGUUCCGGCGGCUAGGGAUGGGCCCGCGGCCUAUCAGCUUGUUGGUGGGGUAAUGGCCCACCAAGGCGACGACGGGUAGCCGGCCUGAGAGGGCGACCGGCCACACUGGGACUGAGACACGGCCCAGACUCCUACGGGAGGCAGCAGUGGGGAAUAUUGCGCAAUGGGCGAAAGCCUGACGCAGCGACGCCGCGUGAGGGAUGAAUGCCUUCGGGUUGUAAACCUCUUUCAGCAGGGACGAAGCGAAAGUGACGGUACCUGCAGAAGAAGCACCGGCUAACUACGUGCCAGCAGCCGC